This 74-nucleotide transfer RNA is filed under the name Kordia periserrulae. RNAcentral describes it as "tRNA-Met". It matches the Rfam family "tRNA". Rfam says of the family: Transfer RNA (tRNA) molecules are approximately 80 nucleotides in length. Lineage: Bacteria; Pseudomonadati; Bacteroidota; Flavobacteriia; Flavobacteriales; Flavobacteriaceae. The record is from RNAcentral. RNAcentral also lists the same sequence under 10 other names.
GGUCCCAUAGCUCAGUUGGUUAGAGCAUCUGACUCAUAAUCAGAGGGUCACUGGUUCGAGCCCAGUUGGGACCA